This 1455-nucleotide long non-coding RNA is filed under the name Olea europaea subsp. europaea. Lineage: Eukaryota; Viridiplantae; Streptophyta; Magnoliopsida; Lamiales; Oleaceae. The record is from RNAcentral.
AGAGUUUAUGCCAAUUACAUGACCAAACUUUAGGUCCAGUAAUUGGUAAAAAUGCUAUUCUUGCCAAAUGUGAGGAAAAUAUGUCGACAACAAGAUCAUCUACUAAUUUAUUCUAAUUACUUUAAGUAAUCUAUUUAGUGGGGAUUGUUACUUAACUUGUCAUUUUGUUUGACCUAUAAAUCCAAUACCACAUCACUGCAUCUCAGUACAGCUUUUAUCGAUGUUUUUGGUUAAUAUCUUUAGAUUCUUAUAGGAGCAUGAGUAAGAUUUAUACUGUUAGCUCUGUUCUAUAUGAUGUAAGGACGAAAAUUAUCAUUACUGUAGUUUUCCACAAACAAAGAUCAGAUGACUACUCAUAGGAAGAACGGAGACACUUUAGAUAAAAUUAAAAGUAAAAUGUUUUGGAUUACAUUGAAAUUGUUUCUAAUGUAAAGGUUUUUGGUGCUUCUAUCUCACGUAAUAUUUGCAUGGUGCAAAAAUAUCUUUAAGUCCUUUUGUUACAUGCUUUCUUUUAACAAGUAAAAUCAUUGAACUUCAUGGUGACACUUGAAUCGGGGACAAGGAUGGAUAUAGGGUUGCUAGAUUAUCUAAAUUCCUCAUCCUUUAUUUGGUUUAAAUUUUGUUAUCUGAGGAUUAGUAAAGAUGGACCACCUUCUAACACUUCCAAAUUAAGAUAAAAUGUAUAGACAAACAAAAUUGUGGCCUAAAGAUUUUAGUUACAUAGUCGUGAUGAUUCAAUGCUUUGAAAAAUUUCAGGGGGAUCCGACCUACCUUCUUGUAGAGAAUGACAGAACACAGUGUUGUGCCAUGAAAUGCUGCUGAGAUCAAGAUCAUCUGCCCGUGACACGGAUCAAAAUACAACAACCGAGGAAGGGUCGUUAGAGGACCGGCUCCGUUGGUAAGUUCGACAAACUUAUUGCCAAAAAACCAUUUGAUCGUACUAUGCAAUAGUUCUCUUAUCCUGCGAUAUACUAGAUGUGCAUGUCUAAGCAAGGAUAUUAUUAGAAUUCUGCUUGAUUCUCACCGUUUUUUUUUGGUAGAAAUUUCUCCGUACAAAUGUACUGGAACAGUCAUUGGCCUUGCCUCAUACUGAUGUUGAUGAUGGGAAGGUUGUGUUCGUCCCACGGGUUGAAACAGAUUUCAGAACUGAUGAAUCUCCAUGGUGGGCUUAAUUACAUUGAAUUUGCUUCCUUCUUGUAUGAAUUUGUCCAUCUGUCAAGGAAAACCUUGAUUUACAAUUUAUUGACUUGAUUCAAAACUGAUUGGAUGACUGGUCCACGUGACAUCAAAUUGACAAUUUCAAUUUGAUGAUUUUUCCUUACCGUCCUAGUUGGGGUUCUCAAAUUUGUGAAGUAAGGCGUUCAUUUGUCAAAAAUACUGCACAAAUUAUAGAUUUAAGCGCAUUGCAAUAUUCGGGUCAAUGAACUUCAAUACAAGUGCCAAUGUAGAAUCGAG